This 468-nucleotide ribosomal RNA is filed under the name uncultured bacterium. Its description in RNAcentral is "partial 16S ribosomal RNA". It matches the Rfam family "Bacterial small subunit ribosomal RNA", at positions 28 to 507 of the family's 1533-position model. The record is from RNAcentral.
GACGAACGCUGGCGGCGUGCUUAACACAUGCAAGUCGAACGGAAAGGCCCUGCUUUCGUGGGGUGCUCGAGUGGCGAACGGGUGUGUAACACGGGAGUAACCUGCCCUUGACUUUGGUAUAACUUGAGGAAACUGGGGCUAAUACCGGAUAGGCGCUCCUGCUGCAUGGUGGUGGUAGGAAAGUUUGGGCGGUUGGGGGUGGACGCGCGGCUUUUCAGCUUGUUGGGGGGUUAGUGGCUUACCAAGGCUUUGAUGGGUGGCCGGCCUGAGAGGGUGACCGGCCACAUUGGGACUGGGAUACGGCCCGGACUCCUACGGGAGGAAGCAGUGGGGAAUAUUGCACAAUGGGCGGAGGCCUGAUGCAGCAACGCCGCGUGCGGGAUGACGGCCUUCGGGUUGUAAACCGCUUUCGCCUGUGACGAAGCGUGAGUGACGGUAAUGGGUUAAGAAGCACCGGCUAACUACGUG